Molecule: ribosomal RNA, 253 nt
Filed under: uncultured bacterium
Lineage: Bacteria
Description: partial 16S ribosomal RNA
Rfam family: Bacterial small subunit ribosomal RNA
Source: RNAcentral
UACGAAGGGGGCUAGCGUUGUUCGGAUUUACUGGGCGUAAAGCGCACGUAGGCGGGUCGUUAAGUCAGGGGUGAAAUCCCGGAGCUCAACUCCGGAACUGCCUUUGAUACUGUCGAUCUGGAGUAUGGAAGAGGUGAGUGGAAUUCCGAGUGUAGAGGUGAAAUUCGUAGAUAUUCGGAGGAACACCAGUGGCGAAGGCGGCUCACUGGUCCAUUACUGACGCUGAGGUGCGAAAGCGUGGGGAGCAAACAGG